RNAcentral lists this ribosomal RNA (495 nucleotides) under uncultured bacterium. RNAcentral describes it as "partial 16S ribosomal RNA". It matches the Rfam family "Bacterial small subunit ribosomal RNA", at positions 28 to 507 of the family's 1533-position model. The record is from RNAcentral.
GACGAACGCUGGCGGCGUGCCUAAUACAUGCAAGUCGAACGCUGAAGGAGGAGCUUGCUUCUCUGGAUGAGUGGCGAACGGGUGAGUAACGCGUAGGUAACCUGCCUGGUAGCGGGGGAUAACUAUUGGAAACGAUAGCUAAUACCGCAUAAGAGUUGAUGUUGCAUGACAUUUGCUUAAAAGGUGCAAUUGCAUCACUACCAGAUGGUCCUGCGUUGGAUUAGCUAGUUGGUGGUGUAACGGCUCACCAAGGCGACGAUACAUAGCCGACCUGAGAGGGUGGUCGGCCACACUUGGACCGGGACACGGCCCAGAACCCUACGGGAGGCAGCAAGAGGGGAACUUCCGCAAUGGGCGGAAGUCUGGCCGAGCAACGCCGCGGGAGUGAAGAAGGUUUUCGGGUCGUAAAGCCCCGUUGUAAGAGAAGAACCAGUGGGGGAGUGGAAAAUUCACACUGUGACGGUAUCUUACCAGAAAGGGACGGCUAACUACGUG